RNAcentral lists this long non-coding RNA (16092 nucleotides) under Nicotiana tabacum (common tobacco). RNAcentral describes it as "long non-coding RNA (NTAB_LNC009491)". The record is from RNAcentral. Lineage: Eukaryota; Viridiplantae; Streptophyta; Magnoliopsida; Solanales; Solanaceae.
GAAGCCUAAUUUCCUAGACCUAGACAUAUACACUCAAAAAAAAUCAGCCGCAAUUGAGGACUCUAGAUCUGAAUUCCAGCUUCUUCUCCAAGGGAUUUAAGAUCUAACGCCAAAAAACCCUUACACUCAAAAAAGGACAAUCAGCCAUUUUCCAUCCAGGAUUGAGAACCAAAAACCUAGAGGACCCUUCUCCUUCAUCUUCCAUAUACCAAAACCCCUAGAGACAAAAACCCUUACCCCCUGCACAAAACAAUCUCACCACUCCAUCUUCAUCUUCUUGACGCCAUCGCCGACCAGACCUCACCACCCAACGACCACUCCCUGAACUAGUAGCCAUGGCUCCUCUUACCCAGACAUGAAGCCCAGCCGUUACCCCCACCAAAACCAGCGACUCCUCAUUCCUUCACCAAGCAAACAACUACCAAACCCGCCGGAAAAUGACCCCCUAACACCAUAGAACGUCGCUCCCUCACCCAUCUUCCUCUCUGCCAUAGACGAGAAACACACACACACACACACACACACACAUACAACGAUAACACAACAUCUCUCGGCAAAGCUCCAAAAUCAGUUGCUCCUUUCUCCAUAGAUUUGGACCUUAGAACUAUUGCAUUACAAUUCAUUCUUCAAGGAAUAACGCAACAACAAAGCUAGUAAAUUCAGUAGCUAUAGCUUCCCCAUUUCACUCCCAAUACAGUUCCAAACAGUCACUAAUUUCACAUCCAAAAAAUACGUCGGAGUCGAUCCAAGGAAUGCGCGGAGUUACGAGAUUUUCCGGUGAGUUUUCCAUGUUCUAGUCGCGGUUUUGCUCAUUGUUGAGUUUCACAAUAAUAAAAGUCAGGUCCUUCAUUUGAGUUCUACCCUUCAUCUUUGUUUCUUUUAUACGACUUGGCAUUUCUUUUAACUGAUUAUCUUAGCGCAGUUUUCUAUACUUUUGUGAACGAUGAUUCUAUGUUAGAUUUAAGUUGCUCUUAAUGCUUGAACAUGUUUUUCAUGCCUGAAGGGCUAUCUUAUCUUCUUGUACUCGUUGAUUUGAAAAUUUUGAGCAUGCUAAAUGGUUUAAGUUAAUACAGUAGAAUUUUCAUUGAUUUUAAGUGGAUACAUAAGAUAUGAAUGAGUUAUUUAGUAGUGGCGUGAGUUUUUGAACUAAAAUAUAAGUUUGAGUCCUUGGAAUUUUGGGUGGGAUUGGGAAUUAAAAAAAGGUAUAAAAUAAAUAAGUUUUCAUGUCAGCUGGAGGAUAAUUUCAAUAAUACUUCAAUUUGGAACAUAAUUCUUUGAGUUAUUGAUUCAUGCCUACGAAGUGCUUAGAUCGUUAGGAAGAGCAAAUUCUUUAAAUAAGUUGAGGUGUGCCAUCCAAUCACAUAGUCUAUGGCCCUCACUUUAAUAUUAUAACUUAGAUACUAAACAAUCUUGACCGUUCGUAGUUUGCUUUAGGCGCGAUUUAAUAUACUAUCGUGGUGGUGUACACGUUCGCGUGACAUAAUUACGAUUUUAAAAAAAAACGUAAUCAGAGUAUGCGUUCGCGCAACUUCGACUAAACUUUCUUAAUAAUAAUAAAGUGUUACUAAUUGUGGACACGUUCGUGUGACAUGAUUUUUGACGCGCCAAACAAAUGGGUACACGUGCGCGUGACCUGUUUCAAGAUAAUUUCUAAAUUAAAAAGGUAAAUGCACAUAGGUUCUAAAAUAAGUAAUUAGACAAUUUUAAUAAGCCAAGUAUGAUCAAAGCGACCGUGCUAGAACCACGAAACUCGGGAAUGCCUAACACCUUCUUCCGGGUUAAUAGAAUUCCUUAUCCAGAUUUCUAUAUUUGCAGACCACAAAUAGAGUCAAACUUCCUCGAUUCAGGAUUUUAAACCGGUGACUUGGGACACCAUAAAUUAUCCCAAGUUGUGACUCUGAAUUUUAAAUAAAAUAAUUGUCGUGCCCCCUUUAUCUCGCGAAAUCGGGUUUAUGACAUUUGGAGGGGCAACUCGUUCCUUUUGGGAACUGGGUUUUGCAUUUGAAGAGUCACCACCUAAUGAUUAAGGUGCAUUAGGACACCAAUAGAAAUUUAAUUCUAAAUCAUUUGAAUAACCAGAGAUUGGGUAAGGGCUUGAAAUUAUCCCAAGGGGAAGGUGUUAGGCACACUCAGGAUCCACUAGUGUGGUUCCCGGCCAAACAGUUAUUGUGAAUUUAGCAAAUAAGCAAGUAUGGGCUCAAAUAUUAGGGGAUUUAAACACAUAAAGAAAGAACAUUUGAAAGAAGUGUUUGUUUAAAAAAAAGAGUUUGCAAAUAAAGGAAAUGGGCCCUAAGUUUAUAUUUAUGGAUCACCCCACAUAAUGUCCGGUAAUCACUCCUCAAUGAGGGGCUAUACGUGACAUUAUCGCGUGGUCAUCAUAUCCAUAUCUACACUUCCCACCCCGUUAAGGUAUAAAAGCGGGGAUUGGUUUCAAUUACUUAUUGCAUGCUAUUACCUGUCCCAUUCCUAUCAGUCCUGGAGGUACUUAGGACUAUUAAUCCUAAAAGGGAGGGGUAUUAGGGUGAUUUGAAGUUCCAAAGGUAAAAAUCUAGGGCGACAUAUAAAAACAGAUAAUAUGGCAUAUAAAGGGAAGCAUGUAAACAGACAAAGGCUCAAAUACACCUCUUUGAACAGAAGCACAUAACUAGCAUGACUUGCACAUACAUUUUAGGUCUAAUUAAAUACUAAAGCCGAGGGGAGCCCGAUUAUUGAAGCAGUUUAGUUUAUUACAUAACUCAGGUAAGAAGUUCGAAUCAGGCUUGCCUGCUGGUUGUAGCGAUUAGCAAAAGCGGAUCCAGUUUACAGUUAUUAUACUAAGGCUUGCCUAAGUGUAUAUUGAUGAUACCCAAUAAGCAUGAUAUCCACUGAUUUCAGAAGGUGAUGAGACAGUAAAAACUCGAAACGAAUUAUUUGAAAUCCUAUAGGCAUGCUUGCUAAACCUUGUUAAGUGAGGGAAUUAGACUAUUAUAAGGAGAUUUAGAAUGGACAAAAUUAAACAGACUGGUUAUAGAUUCUGCAGGUAAUAAUAUCUACUAUUAGUGAUUUUAAUCCCUAGGAGCAUGAUAUAUAACAUUGACUAUGAAUGAAGCGAAUCCGAAUUUCACUUAUGAACCCCUAUAGGCAUGAUUUCUAGAUGUUACUAAUUUUAACACAUUACUGGAUUAUAACCACUUGGCCCCUAACACAUGAUAUCUAAACGGUGACAAACAUGCAGAACUUUAGAAUGAAAUCCUAUAGGCAGGUUAUCUAGAUGUGAAGUUGAACAAGAAGUCCUAUAGACAUGGUUUCUAAAUGCAGUUUGCUGAAUUAAUAUACCCUAUAGGCAUGAUUUCUAAAUGCAUUUUGCAUAAUUAAAAUACCCUAUAGGCAUGAUUUCUAAAUGCAGUUUAUAGAAUUAAAAUACCCUAUAUGCAUGAUUUCUAAAUGCAGUUUGCAGAAUUAAAAGACCCUAUAGGCAUGAUUUCAAAAUGUAGUUUGAAUAUGCAGAAUUUAAAGUAGUCCUAUAAGCAUAUUUUCUACCCUUGCAUCAUUUUUACUAGCCAUCCCCAAAUGUUUAUUACAAAUUAUUACAAACCAGGAAUACUAAAUACAUCAGAAAAAUACAACAAAAUAACAGCCAGAGGAAGUCUGAUUCUUGACUUCCUCACUGAGUUAUGAGAUGAACCAACUCAAAAUACCAUUGAUCCAAAGCCUUUCUCAGCCUUGAGUGUGUCAGAGUUCCCUAAGGGCUUCAAUAGGACCCCGAGCAGUGCUCACACCCAAGUUUCAUAACCAAAAUAGGGAAAAGUGCAGUGUGGAAAUGUCAGCCCUCAUGUAUCCAAGUUCAGAGUGAUGUCACGGGUCCCAAGGCAAGGCUCACAUGAGGGGGGCAGAACUUAAGUCUAAGAGGAGAGUGCAAGUGCAGAAAUAGAGCUUUAAGAACUAAGGAAGUAAACAAGGGGGAAAGAGGUGCUGGGAAACAGCCAUUAACACUUCAAACAAGUUGAUAAUUUCAUACCAUGGGGUUUGGGAAUCCAUUGCAAAGAGCCUAUAUACUUAGGCAUGAGUCAAUUCUAGGCAUGGACAACAAUAGGGAGUGUUGUCAUUCUUGCAAAAUCAACUAGAACAUACAACAUAUAAGGGAAACAUAGAGGUUAUGAUCCUAGGAGGAUCAAGUUUGGGUCAUGCUCAGCAAUGUUCAAUGCUAUCAUGCCCCAAACAAACCAUAGGUAUUAAACAUACUGGGGUAGGGAUUUAGGAUUCAUAAUCCAUUAAUUCAGAACAGGAGAAAAAAUAAGGGUACUGAAUUAAAUAUAAGCAGUAGGCAGACAAGAAUGCAAGAAUCAUUAAGUAACCAUGUUGUGGUUGAUGCUGAAAACUUAAUUAGAACAUACCUGUCAAAGAAGCAAAGUGAAGUAAGGAAAAGUAGCAGGACUUCAAAAUAUAGCUUUGGCUUUCAGCCAGCUAAACAGGACACAGUACCAAUAACAAAGCAAGAGAGAGUGUUUUGAGUGUAAGUGUGAGUUCAAAACUAAAAGUGUUCGUGUGUUUGUGCUAAUGAGGGAGUAUGUAUAGAUAGUAGUUCGAAACCAUGUAAAAUAAGGCAAGAAUUAUAAUUGUAUAGUAAUUAUGGAACCAAGUACUAAUCAGAAUCAAAUCAAUGUAGGUACUCCUUUAAUUAAGGGGCAAUCAACCAACGGUAAUAGACAAAAAAUGUUUAAGGAAAGAAAUCAAGUAGAGCAUCAUUUACAGAGUAGAAAAUAAGGGGUAAGUACAUAGGGGUUCAAUUAAGGAAACAACCAAUGAAGAAUCAGUAAAAUACUCGGUUAACCAAAUAAGGUAAGAAAACAAAAUAAAGUUGCAGAAUAUGGAGAUAAUCGAAAAUCGGCACAUAAUAAAUCAGGGAAUCAAGGAUUCGAAAUUACUGAUUUAAGGAGAGUAACAUGGGUUCCCAUGAAUAAGAAAUAAACCAAGUUAAAAUAGGAGAAUCGAAAGUCUAAAGGGAAAUUUUCAAAUCAAGCCAAGAGACAAGGAGCUCAGAGUCAAUCAAAGAGAGAGUCACGAAUCAUGUUUUACCAUAUAAAUAGAGUGAGAUAUGAGUAACCAAACAUAGCAAGCAAAGAGGAAAGUCUUGACCAGUCAAGACGAACACAAGCACAUAGAGCUGAUGUAAGUUAGGCAUAAGACUACUCAGUAGAAACACAUUCGAAGCGAGAUAGUCACAGAAACUCAAACAAGAACAGACCAGUCACAAAAUCAAACGAAGAAACCUAAAAAAAUUAGGGCUUUCAACAUAGGCGAGUUAAAGAGAAGAUAGAAAUUCAGAAUCAAAAGAAUCACACAAAGAGAUUUUGAAAAGGAACUUCUACACUUAAACGAACAGUCUCAGACCCAAAACCAUAAGAUUUUUAACAAUAGAAGGGUUUUUUUUUUAAAAAAAAAAGAUAAAUAGACAGAUCAGACAAAAGCCUAAGCAAACAAAUAUUCAUUUAAUAAAUAGUUAAAAGAAAUUAGGAGUUUUAACAUGCAAACUCAGGCAGAAGGAUAAUACAGCAAAACAUGUCAAAAAUCAAAGACAGGUUUCGAAAUAACUUAAACAGAACCUUAAUCAGAAAGAUAAGGGGUUUUGAUGGUAGAGUUUUAAAAGAAACUUUGAGAAAAAUGUUUAGAAGUUUAGAGCAAACACAGAUCUGAAACAGAUCUAGAACAAAUCGGAAGAACCUUAGAGGCUAGGGCUUCAGAAGAACCCCAAGUGGUGAGAAAGGCUUUGAAAAUCAUCGAUCUUAGCGGAAAGUCAAGAGUCGGACUCGAAUAGCCAUGGCUGGCCAGAGAAAGGUCAAAGACGACCAGAGAAUGUCCAUAAAAUGAAAUCGACCAAGGUCUGGACCAAGAUUUCUCAAUAUCUAGCCUUGAAACCAUAAUAAUCGAGCACGCAGGAGCCAUGUGAGGUGGAUACAGGCCUCCGAUGACCUUGGAAGCCAUGGAUUUGGAAGGUUUUAGGGUUGUAGUUGAUGUCGGCGGCUAGGGUUGGAGAGGGUUUGAGAGAGGAUUGGGAGAUAAGGGGAUUCAGAGGCGGCUAGGUGUGUGAAAUGGUUAGGGUUAGGGGGUAGUUUGAGAUUAAAAAAGGAAAGGAUGGAUGUUGGCCGUUGAUCUGAAUGAUCAACGACCUGGAUUAAAACGGGCGAGUGGGCGGGUUAUGAAGAUGGGUUUGGUUCGGGUUAAAUUAGAAUUGGUUCGGGGGUUCAAAUAGUUUCAAUUGAGUUCAAUUGGGGUGCCAAAUCAGGAUAAAGUUGAAAUAAAAUGGGGCUAACAUUUAAAUAGCCACGUUUCCCUGUUUGAUUUAUAAAAAUAGUAAGAUAAAUUCUGAAAAUAAAUUAAAAGUACUAAAAUUGUUAACAGUACAUAAUUAUCAAAUUAAAAUACUGGACUUAAUUUUUAUAGAUAUAAAUGUAAUUAAUUCUAAAAGAGGCUAAUAUUGCAAUUAUAUGCAAUUUAGCUUUAAAAAUACUAAAUAAUUUUGCAAAAAUAUGAAAAAAUUAUAUUAGCUAUAUUUUAGCAUAAAUAUGAGAAUCCAAUAAAUGGAUCACCCAAAAAUGAUAUUUUGUAAAUAAUUAUUGGUUUUUCUGAAUAAAAUUGGGCAAUAAGUUGAUUUAAAAAAUCUUUAAAAAUUAAAGAAAAAUAAUAAAAUAUCUAGGCACACUUAUAUAUGUUUACAUAUACUAUUUUGAAAGUAUUUUGCAUAUUAAAAAUAUACAGAAAAAAAUCGGGUAUCAAUAGCUGCCCCUCUUUACCCGUGAAGGAUGGAAGAUAUGUCGGGUAAAGAUAUGAUGGCUAAUUUGACUGAACAAAAUAGUUCGAGGAGGCUUAGGUCGUGCCAUGGCUUCUGAACUGCCUACAUAUCCCUGAUUUUAUAGGAAUCAGGCCAUAUGUAGUUCAGGAUCCGUUGGCGGAGUAUACUAAUGGAGAUUUUCAAGAACGGAUGCAAUCUAUAGGGUCGGGUGUGUGGAAUGUUUAGGUUUGAUAUGGCUGCGGGAACUGGAACGGGAUCGCUCCUACCGAGAUGGUCGUUGCUUGCCAGUUUACCUGCAAACAAACAAUACAAACAUAUAUUGUGCAUAAAUUUAAACAUGAUGCAAUUUCCCGUCGGACCAUAAGGAUUGUCUUCGGACGGUUAGAAUGACGUUCUCAGACCAUGAUGUCCUGGGCCAUGAAGCGUAUAGUAAAGGAUUCACAGGCCAUGAAAUGAUGCUCUCGGGCUAUGAGGAUGAUGCCUCCGAACCAUGAUGCCUUUGAAUAAUAAUAUGCAAAAGAUUGAAAGGGGUCCUCAGGCCAUGACAUGGCGUUCUUGGGCUAUGAAAAUGGUGCCUCUGAACAAUGACGCCUUCGGAUGGUUUGGCGAUCUUUCAGCCCAUGCAAUGCAGUAGGUGGCGAUCUUUCAGCCAUGCAAAUGUAGAUAGGGUGGCGAUCUUUCAUCCAUGCAACUGUAGAUAGGGUGGCGAUCUUUCAGCCAUGCAAAUGUAGAGGUGGCGAUCUUUCAGCCAUUCAGAUGUGGAGGUGGCAAUCUUUCAGCCAUGCAAAUGUAGAGGUGGCGAUCUUUCAGCCAUGCAAAUGUAGAGGUGGCGAUCUUUUAGCCAUGCAAAUGUAGAGGUGGCAAUCUUUCNNNNNNNNNNNNNNNNNNNNNNNNNNNNNNNNNNNNNNNNNNNNNNNNNNNNNNNNNNNNNNNNNNNNNNNNNNNNNNNNNNNNNNNNNNNNNNNNNNNNNNNNNNNNNNNNNNNNNNNNNNNNNNNNNNNNNNNNNNNNNNNNNNNNNNNNNNNNNNNNNNNNNNNNNNNNNNNNNNNNNNNNNNNNNNNNNNNNNNNNNNNNNNNNNNNNNNNNNNNNNNNNNNNNNNNNNNNNNNNNNNNNNNNNNNNNNNNNNNNNNNNNNNNNNNNNNNNNNNNNNNNNNNNNNNNNNNNNNNNNNNNNNNNNNNNNNNNNNNNNNNNNNNNNNNNNNNNNNNNNNNNNNNNNNNNNNNNNNNNNNNNNNNNNNNNNNNNNNNNNNNNNNNNNNNNNNNNNNNNNNNNNNNNNNNNNNNNNNNNNNNNNNNNNNNNNNNNNNNNNNNNNNNNNNNNNNNNNNNNNNNNNNNNNNNNNNNNNNNNNNNNNNNNNNNNNNNNNNNNNNNNNNNNNNNNNNNNNNNNNNNNNNNNNNNNNNNNNNNNNNNNNNNNNNNNNNNNNNNNNNNNNNNNNNNNNNNNNNNNNNNNNNNNNNNNNNNNNNNNNNNNNNNNNNNNNNNNNNNNNNNNNNNNNNNNNNNNGAGGUGGUGAUCUUUCAGCCAUGCAAAUGUAGAGGCAGCGAUCUUUCAGCCAUGCAAAUGUAGAUAAGGCGGCGAUCUUUCAGCCAUGCAAAAUGAAGAUAAGGUGGCGAUCUUUCAGUCAUGCAAAUGCAAAGGUGGCGAUCUUUCAGCCAUGCAAAUGCCGAGGUGGCGAUCUUUCAGCCAUGCAAGUGUAGAUGGAGGUAGAGCUUAACCUCGAAAGGUAGAAUGGUAGCCUUAUGCAAUGCAGAAAAUGCAGAUGGUGACAACGUUUAGUCUCAGAAGGCAGAAUGGUAGCCUUAUGCAAAAAAUAAAAGGGCAAAUUGUAAUAGAGUUUUCUUAGCUGAUAGAGGAUUGCGGUAUCGUGACUGUUGGGGACAUCGUGACAUACUGAAUGCCACUGGUGCGUAUGGAUAGCAAAUGUUGGUAAGUGCAACAGUUCUGAGAGUUGUAUUCCUGAACAAUGUUUGUCUCGUGAGUGUAUGGUAUGUCAGAUGCUUUCGCAAUCUGAGUGCCUUCAUCCAAAGAAAAAUCGUGAGUUUUAUAAAGGGGGAAGGUUAGUUUGCAUCCCCGCUGGCUCUGCUGGACCUGUUCGGCUCUAAUCUGGUGAUGUUGUAUAUAUCAUUGGGGUAGCAUUGCUAAACAAGGAAAUUUUAGUAAUAAACAUGCAUGAUUUUCUUAAAAAUAUUAUAUAAGUAUAUAAUUAAGAAACAACUUUUAGAUGAACCGAUAACUGUAACGUGGUUCAGGACGUUUCAACCUCUCUUGCUACGGAAUUUUGAGGGUCCUCCUCAAAAUUCUGCCCCAGUUUCCAAUUGCGGGCGAAAUGAAAAUUUUAUUGAAUUGUGACCGAACCCAUAGGGCUGCCUACGUAUCCCCUCUUAAACGGGAAUCAGGUCAGGCGUAGUUCAAUUUACAUCAUAUAGGAAAGCAUAAAGAUUACACAUAGUAAUGCUUGACUGCAUCUGAAUUGAUCGGCUUUGGCCAGACUUCUCCGUCCAUUUCUGCAAGUAUGAGGGCUCCUCCUGUCAAAACCUGAUGAACCAUGUAUGGACCCUGCCAGUUGGGAGAGAACUUCCCUUUGGCUUCAUCUUGAUGCGGGAAAAUUUUCUUUAACGUAAGCUGCCCUGGUGUGAACUGUCUAGGCUUGACUCUUUUGUUGAAAGCUCUAGACAUUCUGUUCUGAUAGAGUUGACCAUGGCAAACCGCGUUCAUUCUCUUUUCGUCUAUAAGGGCUAAUUGCUCAUAACAACUUUUCACCCACUCUGCGUCGUCAAGCUCAGCUUCGUGUAUGAUCCUUAGGGAAGGAAUUUCUACCUUGGCAGGAAUGACUGCCUCUGUACCAUAAACCAGUAUAUAGGGGUUGCCCCGGAUGAUGUGCAGACUGUGGUGCGAUACCCCAAUAAAGUGAAUGAUAGUUUCUCGUGCCACUGCUUAUGCUUCUCUAUCAUUUUCCUUAGUAUCUUGUUGAUAUUCUUAUUGGUGGCCUCUAUGGCUCCAUUCAUCUAAGGUCUAUAGGCUGUAGAAUUUUUGUGUCGAAUCUUGAAGGUUUCACACAUAGCUUUCAUCAAGUCACUGUUGAGGUUGGAACCAUUAUAAGUAAUGAUUUAUUCUGGAAUACCGAAUCGACAAACAAUGCGGUUGCGGACAAAGUUUGCCACGACUUUCUUAGUCAUUGCUUUGUAAGAUGUCGCUUCGACCCAUUUGGUGAAAUAGUCGAUGGAUACCAAGAUAAAUAUAUGUCCAUUGGAAGCGACAGGCUCGAUUGGUCCAAUAACAUCCAUCCCCCAAGCGGCAAACGACCAUGGUGAGCUUGUUGCAGUAAGCUCAUUUGGAGGUUCCUUUAUCAUGUCUGUAUGUAUCUGGCAGUGAUGGCAUUUCUGGACAUACUGGAUGCAGUCCGUCUCUAUAGUCAUCCAAAAGUAACNNNNNNNNNNNNNUUUCCGUAUGCUUCUUCCUCAACAUGGGCGCAAUAAUCUGGCUGAUCAUGGAUUUUUACCAGAAUGGGAUCAAUGAAGUUUUUGUCUGGAUGUUGUAUCAUGGAUGAUAGGGUAGCCAAUGCAUCGGCGUACUCAUUCUGGACUAUGGGAACAUGUUGGAAUUCCGUCUUUGUGAAUUUCUUUCUCAAUUCUUGUAUAUGAUGUAGAUACGGGAGUAUCUUGGAGUUCUUCGUUGCCCAUUCUUCUCAGACCUGAUGUAUAAGUAGGUUCAAAUCUCCGAUCACUAGCAACUCUUGAAUGUUCAUGUCAAUGGCCAUCUUGAGACCUAAUAUGCAGGCUUCGUACUCGGCCAUGUUGUUGGUGCAUGGGAACCUGAGUUUGGCAUACACCGGAUAAUGCUGACCAGAUUCCGAUACAAGGACUGCUCCUAUGCCAACUCCUUUGAAAUUUACUGCUCCAUCGGAAAACAUUCUCCAACCAUCAUAGAAUUCUGCAAUGUCUUCUCCUAUGAAUGAUACCUCUUCAUCAGGAAAAUACAUUUUCAGGGGUUCGUAUUCUCCGUCCACGGGGUUUUCAACAAGGUGAGCUUCUAGUGCCUGUCCCUUGAUUGCUUUCUGAGUCACGUAGACAAUGUCAAACUCACUCAAUAGGAUUUGCCACUUGGCUAGCUUACCAGUGGGCAUGGGCUUCUGGAAGAUGUACUUCAAAGGAUUCAUCCUUGAUAUGAAAUAUGUAGUAUAGGCACAGAAAUAGUGCCUCAGUUUCUGAGCUACCCAAGUCAAAGCACAACAGGUGCGUUCUAAUAGAGAAUACCGGGCCUCGUACGAGGUGAACUGCAAUGGACAAAAUUAAACAGACUGGUUACAGAUUCUGCAGGUGAUAGCAUCUACUAUUACUGAUUUUGAUCCCUAGGAGCAUGAUAUCUAACAUUGACUGUGAAUGAAGCGAAUCAGAAUUUCACUGAUGAACCCCUAUAGGCAUGAUUUCUAGAUGUUACUGAUUUUAACACAUUACUGGAUUAUAACCACUUGGGCCCUAACACAUGAUAUCUAAAUGGUGAAAAAAACAUGCAGAACUUUAGAAUGAAAUCCUAUAGGCAGGUUAUCUAGAUGUGAAGUUGAACAAGAAGUCCUAUAGACAUGGUUUCUAAAUGCAGCUUACAGAAUUAAAAUACCAUAUAGGCAUGAUUUCUAAAUGCAGUUUGCAGAAUUAAAAUACCCUAUAGGCUUGAUUUCCAAAUGCAGUUUGCAGAAUUAAUAUACCCUCUAGGCAUGAUUUCUAAAUGCAGCUUGCAGAAUUAAAAUACCCUAUAGGCAUGAUUUCUAAAUGUAGUUUGAAUAUGUAGAAUUUAAAGUAGUCUUACAAGCAUAUUUUCUACCCUUGCAUGCAUAGUUACCCAACCUUUUUUAUUACCUACCCCAAAAUGUUUAUUACAACUUAUUACAAACCAAGAAUACUAAAUACAUCAAAAAAUACAAAGAAAAGAAUUACAACCAGAGGAAGCCUGAUUCUUGAUUUCCUCACUGAUUUAUGAGAUGAACCAACUCAAAAUACCAUUAAUCCAAAGCCUUUCUCAACCUUGAGUGUGUCAGAGUUCCCUAAGGGCUUUAAUAGGACCCCCGGCAGUGCUCACACCCAAGUUUUAUAACCAGAAUCGGGACAAGUGCAGUGUGGAAAUACCAGCCCUCAUGUGUCCAAGUUCAGAGGGAGCUCAUGGGUCCGAAGGCAAGGCUCACAUGAGGGGGGAAGAACUUAAGUCUAAGAGGAGAGUGCAAGUGCAGAAACAGAGCUUUAAGAACUAAGGAAGUAAAGAAGGGGGAAAGAGGUGUUGGGAAACAACCAUUAACACUUCAAACAAGUUGAUAAUUUCACACCAAGGGGUUUGGGAAUCCAUUGCAAGGAGCCUAUAUACUUAGGCAUGAGUCGAUUCUAGGCAUGCACAACAAUAGAGAGUGAUGUCAUGCUUGCAAAAUCAGCCAGAACAUACAACAUAUAAGGGAAACAUAGAGGUUAUGAUCCUAGGAGGAUCAAGUUUGGGUCAUGCUCAGCAAUGUUCAAUGUUGUCAUGCCCCAAACAAAUCAUAAGUAUUAAACAUACUGGGGUAGGGAUUUAGGAUUCAUAAUACAUUAAUUUAGAAUAGGAGAAUAAAUAUGGGUACUAAAUUAAAUAUAAGCAGUAGGCAGACAAGAAUGAAAGAAUCAUUGAGUAACCAUGUUGUGGUUGAUGCUGAAAACUUAAUUAGAACAUACUAGUCAAAGAAGAAAAGUGCAAUAAAGAAAAGUAGCACGACUUCAAUAUAUAGCUUUGGCAUUCAGCCAGCUAAACAGGCCACAGUACCAGUAACAAAGCAAGAGAGAGUGUUUUGAGUGUAAGUGUGAGUUCAGAACUAAAAGUGUUCGUAUGUUUGUGCUAAUGAGGGAGUAUGUAUAUAUAGUAGUUCGAAACCAUGUAAAAUAAGGCAAGAAUUAUAAUUGUAUAGUAAUUAUGGAACCAAGUAAUAAUCAGAAACAAAUCAAUGCAAGUACUCUUUUAAUUAAAGGGCAAUCAACCAACGGUAAUAGGCAAUAAAUGUUUAAGGAAAGAAAUCAAGUAGAGCAUCAUGUACAGAGUAGACAAUGAGGGGUAAGUACAUAGGGGUUCAAUUAAGGAAACAACCAAUGAAGAAUCAGUAAAAUACUCGGUUAACCAAAUAACUUAAGAAAACAAAAUAAAGUUGUAGAAUAUGGAGAUAAUCGAAAAUCAGCACAUAGUAAAUCAGGGAAUCAAGGAUUCGAAAUUACUAAUUUAAGGAGAGUAACAUGGGUUCCCAUGAAUAAGCAAUAAACCAAGUUAAAAUAGGAGAAUCGAAAGUCUAAAGGGAAAUUUUCAAAUCAAGCCAAGAGACAGGGAGCUCAGAGUCAAUCAACGAGAGAGUCACGAAUCAUGUUUUACCAUAUAAAUAGAGUGAGAUAUGAGUAACCAAACAUAGCAAGCAAAGAGGCAAGUCUUGACCAGUCAAGACGAACACAAGCACAUAGAGCUGAUGUAAGUUAGGCAUAAGACCACUCAGUAGAAACACAUUCGAAGCGAGAUAGUCACAGAAACUCAAACAAGAACAUGCCAGUCACAAAAUCAAACGAAGAAACCUAGAAAAAUUAGGGCUUUCAACAUAGGCAAGUUAAAGAGAAUAUAGAAAUCUAGAAUCAGAAGAAUCACACAAAGAGAUUUCGAAAAGGAACUUCUGCACUUAAACGAACAGUCUCAGACCCAAAACCGUAAGAUUUUUAACAAUAGAAGGGUUUCUUUAAAAAAAACAAGAUAAAUUGACAAAUCGGACAAAAACUCAAGCAAACAAAUAUUCAUUUAAUAAAUAGUUAAAAUAAAUUAGGGUUUUUAACAUGCAAACUUAGGCAGAAGGAUAAUACAGCAAAAUAUAUCAAAAAUCAGAGACAGGUUUCGAAAUAACUUAAACAAAACUUUAAUCAGAAAGAUAAGGGGUUUUGAUGGUAGAGUUUUAAAAGAAACAUUGAGAAAAAUGUUUAGAAGUUUAGAGAAAACACAGAUCUGAAUAGAUCUAGAAGAAAUCGGAAGAACCUUAGAGGCUAGGGUUUCAGAAGAACCCCAAGUGGUAAGAAAGGCUUUGAAAAUCAUCGAUCUUAGCGGAAAGUCAAGAGUCGGACUCGAAUAGCCAUGGCUGGCCAGAGAAAGGUCAAAGACGACCGGAGAAUGUCCAUAAAAUGAAAUCGACCAAGGUCUGGACCAAGAUUUCUCAAUAUCUAGCCUUGAAACCAUAAUAAUCGAGCACGCAGGAGCCAUGUGAGGUGGAUACAGGCCUCCGAUGACCUUGGAAGCCAUGGAUUUGGAAGGUUUUAGGGUUGUAGUUGAUGUCGGCGGCUAGGGUUGGAGAGGGUUUGAGAGAGGAUUGGGAGAUAAGGGGAUUCAGAGGCGGCUAGGUGUGUGAAAUGGUUAGGGUUAGGGGGUAGUUUGAGAUUAAAAAAGGAAAGGAUGGAUUAAAACGGGCGAGUGGGCGGGUUAUAAAGAUGGGUUUGGGUCGGAUUAAAUUGGAAUUGGGUUGGGGGUUCAAAUAGUUUCAAUUGAGUUUAAUUGGGGUGCCAAAUCAGGCUAAAGUUGAAAUAAAAUGGGGCUAACAUUUAAAUAGCAACUUUUCCCUGUUUGAUUUAUAAAAAUAGUAAAAUAUUCUCUGAAAAUAAAUUAAAAGUACUAAAAUGAUUAACAGUACAUAAUUAUCAAAUUAAAAUACUGGACUUAAUUUUUAUAGAUAUAAACGUAAUUAAUUCUAAAAGAGGCUAAUAUUGCAAUUAUAUGCAAUUUUGCUUUAAAAAUACUAAAUAGAUUUGCAAAAUAUGCAAAAGUUAUAUUAGCUAUAUUUUAGCAUAAAUAUGAGAAUCCAAUAAAUGGAUCACCCAAAAAUGAUAUUUUGGAAAUAAUUAUUGGUUUUUCUGGAUAAAAUAGGACAAUAAGUUGAUAUAAAAAAACCUUUAAAAAUUAAGGAAAAAUAAUAAAACAUCUGGCCAUACUUAUAUAUGUUUACAUAUGCUAUUUUGAAAAUAUUUUGCAUAUUAAAAAAAUACAGGGAAAAAUUGGGUAUCAACAAUAAUCCUGUUUCGUUUGUCACUUAAAUUGGAAAAAACUCCCUUAUACCCUUCCCGAGGGUGGUAAAAGGAGAUGUGACAAGUAGAUAUGUUAAUUAAAUGUUCCCUUUCUUCUUUUUGGAUACAUCUCCCUAUACACUGACUUUCUUCGCUGAUACAACUGUCACAGUUUACCCCAAUGCGGUUAAGAGCCUCUCGGGCUGGGUCAACUAGCUGGAUUCGAUUUGCCCAUACGCCAAGCGUGCGUGGCGUGAUCUGUCCCAGGCUCGAUGGGAAGCCAAGGACCACAGUGAGCCUUCACUCCUGUUGUAGUUGUAUUUCAUAAAAGAACUAUUAACGAUAGUGCCCUUAUUCCCAGCGCGUAUAUUUUGCAUCUGUGUAGGUCUGGGGGAGGUCCCCUUGAUAAGAGAAGCACUACUUGGUGAAGCAGGUACCCCGAAACCCGAAAAAGAGAGGAAAAGGUGAAGGGGGUCACCGACUCCUUCUCCGAAACCCAAGAAAGCCAAAGUGGGAGAACCCAUACCAUAGAGUCGAUGGCUCCUACAUUAGGACUUGAUUCCGUUGUUGUCCUACCUCGGAUUGAAGAGUCCUUUGAGGGUGCGUCGGGUGACAUCCCCGAUUUACUUGUUGGAAAAAGCUCUCCUCGAGUUGAGGUGCAAUCAUUAGGUGGUCCGAGGGAGCUUGGUUCCGAAGCUCUCCUGAAAUAAGAGACGGCCCUGGUAGAUUCGGUCGAGAUCAUUGAAGUCAGCGAUUCCCCUUCGGGAUCGGCUUUUCCCCCUAGGGAGAUGCAGGAUACCCAAAAUAAAGAAUCUUCUGAUACGAGGGUGCCUGUUAGAGAAAAGAAUGUGCUUGAAGGGCUUUCUAUUGCGCCCGAGGAAAAGCCUGAUCUUGACGUCUCGCUUAUUUUCAAUGAGAUCAACAGGCUCUAUGAGCAGGUUAUCUUUUUGUAAAAGUCUGCUUGGUGCCCUGAUUUUUGUCUUGCUAACUUCGUUUCCUUCAUGGUUUCAGGCCAAGGUGCUUUACAAUCAGACCUUCUCCAAGUUUCAAACCGAGCUGACUCGUUACGAGGGUGAACAUAAAGGACUCACCUUGGAAGCUGGUGAGCUCAGAGCUCUUUCUACUAAGAGGGAGGAGGAACUCCGUGACCUUCGGGAUUGUUUGGAGGCGGCGUCCCGAGACAUGACUCAUCUCACUAAGCAUGUCAUAUAGUUCUUGCUUGUUUUUUGUAUACAUGCUUACCCGACUUUAGUGCUUUAACAACUUCAUGUCGAUCUUUUGUAGCUUAAGA